RNAcentral lists this ribosomal RNA (759 nucleotides) under Pireneitega luctuosa. Its description in RNAcentral is "SSU rRNA". It matches the Rfam family "Eukaryotic small subunit ribosomal RNA", at positions 172 to 929 of the family's 1831-position model. The record is from RNAcentral. Lineage: Eukaryota; Metazoa; Arthropoda; Arachnida; Araneae; Agelenidae.
UGCAGCAGAGCUCCGACCUUCGGGGACGAGCGCUUUUAUUAGACCAAAACCAAUCGGACCUCGUGUCCGUCCUUUGUGGUGACUCUGUAUAACUUUGGGCUGAUCGCACGGGCCUGUCCCGGCGACGUAUCUUUCAAGUGUCUGCCUUAUCAACUUUCGAUGGUAGGUUACGCGCCUACCAUGGUCGUAACGGGUAACGGGGAAUCAGGGUUCGAUUCCGGAGAGGGAGCCUGAGAAACGGCUACCACAUCCAAGGAAGGCAGCAGGCGCGCAAAUUACCCACUCCCAGAACGGGGAGGUAGUGACGAAAAAUAACAAUACGGGACUCUUUUGAGACCCCGUAAUUGGAAUGAGUACACUCUAAAUCCUUUAACGAGGAUCCAUUGGAGGGUAAGUCUGGUGCCAGCAACCGCGGUAAUUCCAGCUCCAAUAGCGUAUAUUAAAGUUGUUGCGGUUAAAAAGCUCGUAGUUGGAUCUCAGUUCCAGACGGGUGGUCCGCCUACCGGUGGUUACUGCCUGUUCUGAACAGUCAGCCGGUUUCUCUUGAUGAUCUUCACCGGUUGUCUUGGGUGACCGGCAAGUUUACUUUGAAAAAAUUAGAGUGCUCAAAGCAGGCGUGACGCCUGAAUAAUGGUGCAUGGAAUAAUGGAAUAGGACCUCGGUUCUAUUUUGUUGGUUUUCGGAACACGAGGUAAUGAUUAAGAGGGACAGACGGGGGCAUUCGUAUUGCGACGCUAGAGGUGAAAUUCUUGGACCGUC